RNAcentral lists this ribosomal RNA (293 nucleotides) under uncultured bacterium. Its description in RNAcentral is "partial 16S ribosomal RNA". It matches the Rfam family "Bacterial small subunit ribosomal RNA", at positions 775 to 1067 of the family's 1533-position model. The record is from RNAcentral.
GGAUUAGAUACCCUGGUAGUCCACGCUGUAAACGAUGUCUACUAGCCGUUGGUCUCCUUGAGGGGGCAGUGGCGCAGCUAACGCGAUAAGUAGACCGCCUGGGGAGUACGGCCGCAAGGUUAAAACUCAAAUGAAUUGACGGGGGCCCGCACAAGCGGUGGAGCAUGUGGUUUAAUUCGAUGCAACGCGAAGAACCUUACCAGGUCUUGACAUCCCGAGAAGUCGCUAGAGAUAGCUUCGUGCCUUCGGGAACUCGGUGACAGGUGCUGCAUGGCUGUCGUCAGCUCGUGCCG